Molecule: long non-coding RNA, 239 nt
Filed under: Durio zibethinus
Lineage: Eukaryota; Viridiplantae; Streptophyta; Magnoliopsida; Malvales; Malvaceae
Description: long non-coding RNA (DZIB_LNC000131)
Source: RNAcentral
AUUUUCUUAUCAUGAGAUCUCAUCAUUCUUCUUUGGUAUAGUUGACCAUGACGUAGUGUUGCUAGUCUCUUUUCUUCAAUGACAUUUAGUUGCUCAUAGUGCUUUUGAAUCCAUUCAGCUUAUUUUAAUCCCACUUCUUUUAAGACUCUCAAAGACGAAAUUUUUACUUUUAUCGGUAGAACAACCUCCAUCCCAUAAACCAAGAAAAAUGGAGUUAUCUCAAUAGAGGUAUGUACUGA